AGUGAACGCUGGCGGUAGGCCUAACACAUGCAAGUCGAACGGCAGCACAGGAGAGCUUGCUCUCUGGGUGGCAAGUGGCGGACGGGUGAGGAAUACAUCGGAAUCUACUCUGUCGUGGGGGAUAACGUAGGGAAACUUACGCUAAUACCGCAUACGACCUACGGGUGAAAGCAGGGGACCUUCGGGCCUUGCGCGAUUGAAUGAGCCGAUGUCGGAUUAGCUAGUUGGCGGGGUAAAGGCCCACCAAGGCGACGAUCCGUAGCGGGUCUGAGACAAUGAGCAGCCACACUGGAACGGGGACACGGUCCAGACUCCUACGGGAGGCAGCAGUGGGGAAUAUUGGACAAUGGGCGCAAGCCUGAUCCAGCCAUACCGCGUGGGUGAAGAAGGCCUUCGGGUUGUAAAGCCCUUUUGUUGGGAAAGAAAUCCAGCUGGCUAAUACCCGGUUGGGAUGACGGUACCCAAAGAAUAAGCACCGGCUAACUUCGUGCCAGCAGCCGCCGUAA
RNAcentral lists this ribosomal RNA (506 nucleotides) under uncultured bacterium. Its description in RNAcentral is "partial 16S ribosomal RNA". It matches the Rfam family "Bacterial small subunit ribosomal RNA", at positions 29 to 523 of the family's 1533-position model. The record is from RNAcentral.